This 1093-nucleotide long non-coding RNA is filed under the name Cyanistes caeruleus (blue tit). RNAcentral describes it as "lncRNA (ENSCCEG00000007216.1)". The record is from RNAcentral. Lineage: Eukaryota; Metazoa; Chordata; Aves; Passeriformes; Paridae.
CUUUCCUUCAAGUCACUGCAUAAAUACAACAGUUCAUUUGUUUGCUUUUUUAAUAACUGAAGUUUACAACAUGAGUGGGGUUUUCCUAGGGGAAUACAGUAACUUUUUUCACUUGGUUGCUCAGCUUUUUUAUUAAAGCAGUGAUUGCCAAGACAAUCUCUUUAACAAAAUCUUUUAAAUAUGUUUGUAAAACAGUAAUCAGCACUUUGGCAUCUGAGAUCUUUUCAGUGGUCCCCGGUUUAUUGCCAGUGGUGUCUGCAGAGAUGCUGGAGGGCAGUGAGAGCCCAUGGGAGUGAAGUGGGAUUUAAACAUUUGCUGUUGGAGUUCUGAAUGUUACCUUGUGCUGUUAUCACCCACAGGUUUUUGCAGAGGUGCUGGGUGCCUUCCCCACACCCAGACUGUGCAGAGCUGGGAGAUGCUCAAAUUCAGUGUUCAGCUGAAGGGAGGUGGGUCAUAGCGCCGGUGCUGUGCCAGAGGACCAAGGCUCUCCUGCCUCUCCCUCCCAUCUUGAAGCAUAGCUGAGAUAUUCAAAAUCCCCCUGAAAAUUAAAUGCUUGGACUGGAAGCAGAUGAUCAUUAAAACCCUUCCCAACCCAAACCUUUCUAUGAUUGCAUUCUGUGAGUUUAUGGCCCGUGGACAUGGAGUGAUUCUUCUUCAGUAUUAAUGACGUGUACAUCAACAGGAUGGUUUUUGCAACCAAGGGUGUCAGGGACAAGAAGGAAUUUGUGUGGUAAUAUGAAGUAUAAAUUAUAUUUCUUCUGCAAAUCUUUUUCUGGAAUUAUUGCAGAGUUCAUGAUGUAUUGUCAUUUAUUGAAGUGAUGGACAGUUAUAUUCUCUGUCCUUAACCUGGCCUGGAGUAAAGAUGCAAAUGUUACCUUUAUUUUUCUCAGAGUGAGAACUACGAGUAACUAGAGAUGAAUAUGGACGUUUUGCUCUGCCUGAGCAGAAAAGCCAGCUGAGAUCCCCUGAAAGGGCUAUAUUAUUGGUACUACAUUCUGAACAAUUACAUCUAUUUUUGCUCUUGACAAUUGCUCUUACAAUGCCCAGAUUAUUGGCUCAGUGAAAUAAAAAGAAGUUUCACAAGAUGCUUUCA